GACGAACGCUGGCGGCGUGCCUAAUACAUGCAAGUCGAACGAGAGCGACCGGUGCUUGCACUGGUCAAUCUAGUGGCGAACGGGUGAGUAACACGUGGGUAACCUGCCCAUCUGAGGGGGAUAACAUCCGGAAACGGAUGCUAAAACCGCCUAGGUCUUCGAACCGCAUGGUUUGAAGAGGAAAAGAGGCGCAAGCUUCUGCUGAUGGAUAGACCCGCGGUGCAUAAGCUCGUUGGUGAGGCAACGGCUCACCAAGGCCGUUAUGCGCUGCUGACCUGAGAGAGGGGUCAGCCACGUUGGAAUUGAGACACGGUCCAGACUCUUAAGGGAGGCAGCAGUAGGGAAUGUGGGAGAAUGGACGCAAGUCUGACCCAGGCAGACCGCGUGGGUGAAGAAGGCCUUCGGGUCGUAAAGUCGUGUUGUUGGGAAAGAACAGCAGCGGGGUGAUAAGUCGCGGCGCUGACGGUAACUAAAGAAAAAGCACCGGCUAACUAAGUG
Molecule: ribosomal RNA, 498 nt
Filed under: uncultured bacterium
Lineage: Bacteria
Description: partial 16S ribosomal RNA
Rfam family: Bacterial small subunit ribosomal RNA
Source: RNAcentral